CAGCGGCGGACGGGUGAGUAACACGUGGGCAACCUGCCUGUGAGACUGGGAUAACUUCGGGAAACCGGAGCUAAUACCGGAUAAUAUAAGGAACCUCCUGGUUCUUUAUUGAAAGAUGGUUUCGGCUAUCACUCACAGAUGGGCCCGCGGCGCAUUAGCUAGUUGGUGAGGUAACGGCUCACCAAGGCGACGAUGCGUAGCCGACCUGAGAGGGUGAUCGGCCACACUGGGACUGAGACACGGCCCAGACUCCUACGGGAGGCAGCAGUAGGGAAUCUUCCACAAUGGACGAAAGUCUGAUGGAGCAACGCCGCGUGAGCGAUGAAGGCCUUCGGGUCGUAAAGCUCUGUUGUUAGGGAAGAACAAGUGCGAGAGUAACUGCUCGCACCUUGACGGUACCUAACCAGAAAGCCACGGCUAACUACGUGCCAGCAGCCGCGGUAAUACGUAGGUGGCAAGCGUUGUCCGGAAUUAUUGGGCGUAAAGCGCGCGCAGGUGGUCCUUUANGUCUGAUGUGAAAGCCCACGGCUCAACC
This 535-nucleotide ribosomal RNA is filed under the name bacterium 23E9. RNAcentral's name for it is "bacterial SSU rRNA". It matches the Rfam family "Bacterial small subunit ribosomal RNA", at positions 93 to 614 of the family's 1533-position model. The record is from RNAcentral.